RNAcentral lists this long non-coding RNA (796 nucleotides) under Monodelphis domestica (gray short-tailed opossum). RNAcentral's name for it is "lncRNA (ENSMODG00000037478.1)". Lineage: Eukaryota; Metazoa; Chordata; Mammalia; Didelphimorphia; Didelphidae. The record is from RNAcentral.
GUAGGUUUCUAGAGUUCCAUAUUUCUUUUCUAUUGUUCUUGAGAACCACUUAUUUCAGCCAUUUUCAGGGUGUAAGAGUAGGGUGACUCAUGGCCACUAGAUUUGGGCUUCCUGCCCACCACAUGGAUAAGUGGCAGCUAAUUUUGGGAGUUGGACUUUGGACCACUGGCAAUGGCCCAUGCCGCCAUCUCUGGUGAUCAGGAACUAAUGUACAGAGAUGAGACUGGACCAGAGAGGUGGAUGUCUCGGGACAAGUCAGAAGAGAUACAACCAGCCAAAGGCAUAUUCUUGCACAAAUGUCAGCUAUUUUGGUGAAUUAUGGGAGGGACUAAAGGGGACCUCAAGAACUGGAAUGGAAGCAAAAACCCUUUCAGCUAAGGUCAGUAAUUUCCCUGGAGACUGUGAGGUGUGUGUAUAUAGGGGGUGGAGAGGAGAGUUGGGGUUGGGGGGAUUAGGGAGGGGAGUUAUUAAUAUCUGCAAGUGUAGCAAGGAAUCUGCAUGGUUUGCACUUUUUGUGUCCCUUCAUAGGAAUGUUGAUCAAAGAGUGCAGAGCUCAGAGAGGCAGGAUCUGCCCUGCAAACUCUUCUGGUGCUGGGAAUUUGGAGAGGAAUUGAUUGGGAGGUCUCCUGGAGAUAAGGCAACGGAAAGGAGGCGUUGCCAUGGCAAAGUAUACAGGCAUUUUUUUUUCUUUUAUGAGUUCGGCUCCACAGACCCAAAUAUACAUAGCUAUCCACAGGAGAGGGUGAGUGUAAGUGGAUCAUGGCCAUAUAUGAAGAGGAAAUAGAUCCCAUUUUUG